RNAcentral lists this unclassified non-coding RNA (271 nucleotides) under rhizosphere metagenome. RNAcentral describes it as "partial ribosomal RNA internal transcribed spacer region". The record is from RNAcentral.
GUAGGUGAACCUGCGGAAGGAUCAUUAACACAAUACAUUUACCCAAAUGUAUCUUAACCCCCCUUUGCAAACUUGUUUCAUCAUGUUUUUCCCGGAUACGUGUAGUUUUUUUUUUUUUUCGAAAAAAAAAACUGCUUUGUAUCUGUGGUUUCAAACCUUUUAACCCCUUGAACUGUCUUUGACUGAAACUCUGAGUAAUGACACGUAAGUGUGAUUGCUCUGCCAUAUAUCAAACGCUGAACAACUCUUAGCAACGGAUAUCUUGGCUCUC